Molecule: non-coding RNA, 983 nt
Organism: Podarcis muralis (Common wall lizard)
Lineage: Eukaryota; Metazoa; Chordata; Lepidosauria; Squamata; Lacertidae
Source: RefSeq, a predicted model, not a curated record
UAUAUAAAUUCAAACAACAACAACAACUUUCUUCUCCCCAAUUUCCCACUCCUUGAAGGAGCUUUGGUUAACCAGGGAAAUUCACAUGACACUUAAAGCAAGGUCUGAUAAGCACUGGCUGCAAUAUUGUGCCAGGGCAUCUAGUUGGCAUACAGUCAUACCUCGGGUUAAAUAUGCUUCAGGUUGAGCAUUUUCAAGUUACGCUCCGCUCAAAAUGACAUCAUGCGCAGAAGCGGUGAAUCAUAGCACGUGCAGACGCGGAUUGCGUUCGCUUCAGGAUGCGAACAGGGCUCUGGAACGGAUCCCAUUUGCAUCCAGAGGUACCACUGUAUUUAAAUUUCCCAGGCAAUGUUUUUGAUCAUACGCUACUCUCUUAGAUCAUGGUGGGGGAACUUCAGGCCCAGUGGCCAGAUGCAGCCCUCCUAACUUCUGUUCAGCUCCUGAAACACUUCCCCAGGCUACACCCUCUUCCAAGGCUACGCUACCUCCUUCUGCUCUGCACUUUCCUCCACUGCUUUUGCCAGGCUGAGAUGCUGCUGCUUCCUUGCCUGGAUGGAGGGUGAAGAGAUGUGGGUUGGUGUGUAUAGAAACCUCUCACUUCCACAAGUCUGAAAUGAUCUCUGUUGUACAAAGACUCCCAGGAACAAAAUGAUGUCACUUUCUGCUAGUCAUUCUUGAGUGCCUGUAACAAAGUAGGUUCUUUUCUGUUACCUCAUUGUGUUCGGUACAAUCAAAUUAGAAACAAAAUUGUCAAGAGUUGUUGACAUAGUGCCUUUCAUCAGAGAGAUUGCUCAUAUUUUAGCCAUUUGUACCCAAGAAUUACAGCUCUGUAUUGAUGCAUUAUGAAAUUUGCAACUUUUAUGUAAAUAAGUGUUGGAAUUGUAUCUAUGUUUAAAAAUAAUCCAUAAAAUAGAUGGGUGGUUUUGGGUUUGUAAGAGGAUCGGUUUUCCAUUUAAAAAAUAUUGACGCUUUUUCAUAAUACA